This is a long non-coding RNA of Mytilus californianus (California mussel), 763 nucleotides long. RefSeq lists it as uncharacterized. Lineage: Eukaryota; Metazoa; Mollusca; Bivalvia; Mytilida; Mytilidae. The record is from RefSeq and is a predicted model, not a curated record. The transcript is spliced from 3 exons.
CAUUGAAUGAAUUAUGAAUCGAAUUGUCUUAUCUUUUACGAAGAAUAAAUUAAAAAAAGAAUCAAUAAAUGACAAUCUAUACCCGAAAACAUUCAGCCGUAGGCUUUAAUAAUUUGUUACAAAUAGAGAAGUAGGUCUCAUUUAUUUGCAUUACAGUCGUAAUAUUUUCUUGUGGAAAUAGCUCCUUCAGAAAUGUGUCCAACUUAUACAUAGGUUCAUAUGUGCACUGGCUGUUGUUGCUGAGAGAAAGAAGCUGGUUGAGAGAAUAGUUGUUACAAAAGACUACUGUCCUGAAGGAGCAUAUGUUGUAAGACUCUGUAAAGAUGGCAGCUGGAAAACUGUUGUCUUAGAUGACCACUUCCCAGUAAAUCAGCACGAGAGACUAAAAUAUUCUAAGGCAAGAAGAUGUCAAUUAUGGGUUCCAUUGAUCGAGAAAGCCGCAGCAAAGAUGCAUGGAUGUUAUCAGGCACUAAGAUCUGGAAAGACGGUGGAGUCCUUGUCAUUGCUUACUGGUGAACCAUGUGAACAUCUGUCUUUGAAUGACAAUAAAGAUUUUUCAAAGACCAUGGAUAACAUUUUAAUCUGGUCAAAGUUGACACAUGCAAGGGGCUUGUAGGUAAGGAAAAUGAAAAAUAAAUCAUUAUGAAAUAUAAAAAGAUGUGGUAUAAUUGUUUAUUAGACAAAAAUAAACCAAAAAGAAAAAAGGAAACGGAUAAAAUAUACUACAGGUCACUUCAACAAUUAUCAAAAUUCAAUCUGCAGG